GAAAUUCGGAUUAAUACUCCAUAAUAUUCAGAAUUGGCAUCUUUUCUGAAUCAAAGCUCCGGCGGUUAGGGAUGGGCAUGCGUGACAUUAGUUUGUUGGUGAGGUAACGGCUCACCAAGACUGCGAUGUCUAGGGGGUCUGAGAGGAUGGUCCCCCACACUGGUACUGAGACACGGACCAGACUCCUACGGGAGGCAGCAGUGAGGAAUAUUGGGCAAUGGACGAAAGUCUGACCCAGCCAUGCCGCGUGCAGGAUGACGGCCCUACGGGUUGUAAACUGCUUUUGUACAAGAAGAAACUUUUGUUCGUGAACAAACUUGACGGUAUUGUACGAAUAAGCAUCGGCUAACUCCGUGCCAGCAGCCGCGGUAAUACGGAGGAUGCAAGCGUUAUCCGGAUUUAUUGGGUUUGAAGGGUGCGUAGGCGGGACGGUAAGUCAGAGGUGAAAUCUUCCAGCUUAACUGGNAACUGUCCUUUGAUCUGUCGUCCUU
This 491-nucleotide ribosomal RNA is filed under the name uncultured bacterium. RNAcentral describes it as "bacterial SSU rRNA". It matches the Rfam family "Bacterial small subunit ribosomal RNA", at positions 153 to 643 of the family's 1533-position model. The record is from RNAcentral.